GUGAGAUCUUUCUCUAGUGGUAUCGUGAGUGAAGUAGAGUUUAGAAAAGUGGUUUUCAGUUAGAAAUAGGUGUUUUUGAGAAGGGAAGGAUGGCUUGAGUUCAGUACUUUUUGUAUCAUGGGUCAUAGAGAGGGGGUCUGUUUAGUGAGUCCUGAAAGGUUUGGAGCUAUCUUUCUUUUGUUUUAAUGCUUGUGAUGUUGCAGUAUCAUGAGUAAGAGGAAGAUUGAGGUGACAUGUUUGUCGAAAAGCCUGAUAGCUGGUUAGUUAGGAAAUGUAUAUGAGUACAGCGGGGAUUUCUAGGGUUUGCUAGCUUGUGUUGCAAGGUCUUGGUUCCUAGUGAGGCUCAAAGGGUUAAUCUUUUGAGUUUUGUUUUGAGGAAUUGUCAUAAAGUGGGGUUAAUAGUGCCUGUCUUAUUUUGAAAGUUUGUUCAAAGCGGUUUGUUUGUGUCUUUCGAUUUCUACUGACUUCUUGAUUAUAAUUGGUAGUUGAAGAAUUAGUAUGACAUGAGUAAGUGUAAAAUAUAGUAUUUUAUCAUGUUCUUGUGGGAGCAAGGUAGCUUAUUUUGGUUAGUUUUUGUGGUUGUUGUAUUUAGUAAAGUAAAUCUAAGGAACUCGGCAAAUAUUUUCCUCGCCUGUUUAGUAAAAACAUCGCUCUUAGUUUUUGUAGUAUUAGGAGUCGUGCCUGCCCGGUGGAUAUUAUAAUCUAAACGGUUGCUGUUGGUAGCAGUACGAAGGUAGCGCAAUCACUAGUCCUUUAAUUGGGGAACGGAAUGAAUGGUGUGACGUGGGAAAUCCUGUCUCGGGUUUAGAAGCUGAAAUUGACUUUUGCGUGAAAAGGCGUAAAUGUAAACAUUAGACGAGAAGACCCCAUCGAGCUUGAUGAUGCUUGCCUUUUUAAGGCAGGUUGAAGUUUAGUUGGGGUGACUGGGUGCAAGUUUAACGUACUUGAGUUUUUGAUAAUGAAGACCCUUCAUUGAAGAUCUGGAGAAAAAGCUACCGUGGGGAUAACAGCGUAAUGCUCUUGGAGAGAUCUUAUUGAAGAGAGAUGUUGCGACCUCGAUGUUGAAUUAGAGUGUUAUCUUGGCGUAGCCGUUAGGAUUGUGGGACUGUUCGUCCUUUGAAAUUUUACAUGAUUUGAGUUUAGACCGGCGUGAGCUAGGUCGGAUUCUAUCUGUGUUUUUUACCUCUUUUGUACGAAAGGAUCGAGAGGUUGGCCUGAGGUUUUCUU
This 1227-nucleotide ribosomal RNA is filed under the name Teredo bartschi. RNAcentral describes it as "16S ribosomal RNA". It matches the Rfam family "Bacterial large subunit ribosomal RNA", at positions 572 to 2719 of the family's 2925-position model. Lineage: Eukaryota; Metazoa; Mollusca; Bivalvia; Myida; Teredinidae. The record is from RNAcentral.